RNAcentral lists this ribosomal RNA (1095 nucleotides) under Triplophysa tenuis. RNAcentral's name for it is "partial large subunit ribosomal RNA". It matches the Rfam family "Bacterial large subunit ribosomal RNA", at positions 144 to 2058 of the family's 2925-position model. The record is from RNAcentral. Lineage: Eukaryota; Metazoa; Chordata; Actinopteri; Cypriniformes; Nemacheilidae.
ACUACUAAAAUUAACUUAACACCAUAGAUAGUUUAACAUUAAUUAAACCAAAGAAUUAAAUCAUUUUUCCACCUUAGUACGGGAGACGGAAAAGGUAAUUUUAAGCAAUAGAGAAAGUACCGCAAGGGAAAGCUGAAAGAGUAAUGAAACAAUCCAUUCAAGCACGAAAAAGCAGAGCCUAACCCUCGUACCUUUUGCAUCAUGAUUUAGCCAGCACCACACAAGCAAAGUGACCUUUAGUUUGAAAUCCCGAAACCAAGUGAGCUACCCCGGGACAGCCUAUUUGGGCGAACCCGUCUCUGUGGCAAAAGAGUGGGAAGAGCCCCGGGUAGAGGUGAUAAACCUACCGAACUUGGUGAUAGCUGGUUGCCUAAGAAAUGAAUAAAAGUUCAGCCUCGUACCCCUUUAGCCAACUGGGAAAUAUCUGAGUAAGCAUAAGAGAGAAAUACGAGAGUUAGUUAAAGGGGGUACAGCCCCUUUAAUAAAGGACACAACCUUAAAUAGGUGGAUAAGAGUCACAUUUUAUAAAACUAGUCGUUCCAGUGGGCCUAAAAGCAGCCACCUGAAUAGAAAGCGUUAAAGCUCAAACGACAUACAGUUUAUUAUACUGAUAAAUAGCCCAAUUCCCCUAAAAGUAUUAGGCCAUUCCAUGCCACCAUGGAAGAGACCAUGCUAGAAUGAGUAAUAAGAGGGCAUGACCCUCUCCUAGCACAAGUGUAAGCCAGAUCGGACAAGCCACUGGAAGUUAACGAACCCAUUAAAAGAGGGUAAUGUGUUCACUAAAGAAUUCAAGAAAAUAACACAAUAUUAACAUCGUUAAACCCACACUGGAGUGCCAUCAAGGAAAGACUAAAAGGAAGGGAAGGAACUCGGCAAGCACAAGCCUCGCCUGUUUACCAAAAACAUCGCCUCCUGCAAACCCCUACGUAUAGGAGGUCCAGCCUGCCCGGUGACUACAAGUUUAACGGCCGCGGUAUUUUGACCGUGCAAAGGUAGCGCAAUCACUUGUCUUUUAAAUGAAGACCUGUAUGAAUGGCUAAACGAGGGCUUAACUGUCUCCCUUUUCAGGUCAGUGAAAUUGAUCUACCCGUGCAG